UUUAUGGAGAGUUUGAUCCUGGCUCAGGAUGAACGCUGGCGGCGUGCCUAAUACAUGCAAGUCGAGCGAACGGACGAGAAGCUUGCUUCUCUGAUGUUAGCGGCGGACGGGUGAGUAACACGUGGAUAACCUACCUAUAAGACUGGGAUAACUUCGGGAAACCGGAGCUAAUACCGGAUGAUAUUUUGAACCGCAUGGUUCAAAAGUGAAAGACGGUCUUGCUGUCACUUAUAGAUGGAUCCGCGCUGCAUUAGCUAGUUGGUAAGGUAACGGCUUACCAAGGCAACGAUGCAUAGCCGACCUGAGAGGGUGAUCGGCCACACUGGAACUGAGACACGGUCCAGACUCCUACGGGAGGCAGCAGUAGGGAAUCUUCCGCAAUGGGCGAAAGCCUGACGGAGCAACGCCGCGUGAGUGAUGAAGGUCUUCGGAUCGUAAAACUCUGUUAUUAGGGAAGAACAUAUGUGUAAGUAACUGUGCACAUCUUGACGGUACCUAAUCAGAAAGCCACGGCUAACUACGUGCCAGCAGCCGCGGUAAUACGUAGGUGGCAAGCGUUAUCCGGAAUUAUUGGGCGUAAAGCGCGCGUAGGCGGUUUUUUAAGUCUGAUGUGAAAGCCCACGGCUCAACCGUGGAGGGUCAUUGGAAACUGGAAAACUUGAGUGCAGAAGAGGAAAGUGGAAUUCCAUGUGUAGCGGUGAAAUGCGCAGAGAUAUGGAGGAACACCAGUGGCGAAGGCGACUUUCUGGUCUGUAACUGACGCUGAUGUGCGAAAGCGUGGGGAUCAAACAGGAUUAGAUACCCUGGUAGUCCACGCCGUAAACGAUGAGUGCUAAGUGUUAGGGGGGUUCCGCCCCUUAGUGCUGCAGCUAACGCAUUAAGCACUCCGCCUGGGGAGUACGACCGCAAGGUUGAAACUCAAAGGAAUUGACGGGGACCCGCACAAGCGGUGGAGCAUGUGGUUUAAUUCGAAGCAACGCGAAGAACCUUACCAAAUCUUGACAUCCUUUGACAACUCUAGAGAUAGAGCCUUCCCCUUCGGGGGACAAAGUGACAGGUGGUGCAUGGUUGUCGUCAGCUCGUGUCGUGAGAUGUUGGGUUAAGUCCCGCAACGAGCGCAACCCUUAAGCUUAGUUGCCAUCAUUAAGUUGGGCACUCUAAGUUGACUGCCGGUGACAAACCGGAGGAAGGUGGGGAUGACGUCAAAUCAUCAUGCCCCUUAUGAUUUGGGCUACACACGUGCUACAAUGGACAAUACAAAGGGCAGCGAAACCGCGAGGUCAAGCAAAUCCCAUAAAGUUGUUCUCAGUUCGGAUUGUAGUCUGCAACUCGACUACAUGAAGCUGGAAUCGCUAGUAAUCGUAGAUCAGCAUGCUACGGUGAAUACGUUCCCGGGUCUUGUACACACCGCCCGUCACACCACGAGAGUUUGUAACACCCGAAGCCGGUGGAGUAACCUUUUAGGAGCUAGCCGUCGAAGGUGGGACAAAUGAUUGGGGUGAAGUCGUAACAAGGUAGCCGUAUCGGAAGGUGCGGCUGGAUCACCUCCUUUCU
Molecule: ribosomal RNA, 1554 nt
Filed under: Staphylococcus aureus
Lineage: Bacteria; Bacillati; Bacillota; Bacilli; Caryophanales; Staphylococcaceae
Description: 16S ribosomal RNA
Rfam family: Bacterial small subunit ribosomal RNA
Source: RNAcentral